RNAcentral lists this ribosomal RNA (497 nucleotides) under uncultured bacterium. RNAcentral's name for it is "partial 16S ribosomal RNA". It matches the Rfam family "Bacterial small subunit ribosomal RNA", at positions 355 to 842 of the family's 1533-position model. The record is from RNAcentral.
UAGGGAAUCUUCGGCAAUGGACGAAAGUCUGACCGAGCAACGCCGCGUGAGUGAAGAAGGUUUUCGGAUCGUAAAACUCUGUUGUUAGAGAAGAACGUUGCAUAGAGUGGAAAAUUAUGCAAGUGACGGUAUCUAACCAGAAAGGGACGGCUAACUACGUGCCAGCAGCCGCGGUAAUACGUAGGUCCCGAGCGUUGUCCGGAUUUAUUGGGCGUAAAGCGAGCGCAGGUGGUUUAAUAAGUCUGAUGUAAAAGGCAGUGGCUCAACCAUUGUGUGCAUUGGAAACUGUUAGACUUGAGUGCAGUAGAGGAGAGUGGAAUUCCAUGUGUAGCGGUGAAGUGCGUAGAUAUAUGGAGGAACACCGGUGGCGAAAGCGGCUCUCUGGACUGUCACUGACACUGAGGCUCGAAAGCGUGGGUAGCAAACAGGAUUAGAUACCCUGGUAGUCCACGCCGUAAACGAUGAGUGCUAGUUGUUUGGGGCCUAUCCAGCCCUAA